RNAcentral lists this transfer RNA (76 nucleotides) under Candidatus Cloacimonadota bacterium. RNAcentral describes it as "tRNA-Glu". It matches the Rfam family "tRNA". From Rfam's summary of the family: Transfer RNA (tRNA) molecules are approximately 80 nucleotides in length. Their secondary structure includes four short double-helical elements and three loops (D, anti-codon, and T loops). Lineage: Bacteria; Pseudomonadati; Candidatus Cloacimonadota. RNAcentral also lists the same sequence under 2 other names. The record is from RNAcentral.
GUCCCGUUCGUCUAGUGGCCUAGGACUCGUGAUUCUCAGUCAUGCAACAGGGGUUCGAUUCCCCUACGGGAUGCCA